Pezoporus occidentalis (night parrot) is the source of this 1180-nucleotide long non-coding RNA. RefSeq lists it as uncharacterized. The record is from RefSeq and is a predicted model, not a curated record. The transcript has 3 exons. NCBI's taxonomy places the organism in Eukaryota, Metazoa, Chordata, Aves, Psittaciformes, Psittacidae.
GCAGGUAACAUUAACCAGGACCUAUUUGUCCACCAAAGUUACUCUUUGAUAACCAGAAAAAGCCUGUAAAAGAGUUACAUUUAGACUCUAUUGUUGAAAAGAAUUUCAAAUGCACUUAAUUAUGGCCACUGCAGCCAACAGCAAGACCAACUACUAACAAGCUUUUGGUGAGAGAAAACAGCAUGACAUGCAAGGCUGUCAUUAGGAACCAAUCCCCACCAGCACACAGCUUUCUCCAUGACUGCUGGAAUGCUAUCAAGGCUCUCUGCUGGUCUCUUAGAAAUAAAUGUGAUCACUUCUAUGCCACCAUUCAUUUGGGAUGAAUAUUACUUUUCCUCAUUUUACAUAAAAAAAAAACUCUUUGCAGUGAAACCCUGCUCUGGGACCUAUUACCAUUAGCCAAGGAAUUAACCAAGCAACAGCCUUUUGCAUGCCUUUUACUAAAUUUUUUUCUAUCUGAAUUUCCUGUUGGUCAUGAUCACUGAAAUUCCACAGCUGCCUACAAAUCUGGGAAGUUCAGUUAAGUCACCGCCGAUGCUUUAAACAGGCCCAGGGACACUGAGCUGAGGCCUGACUACUGCCAAGUGAAUAAACACAAACCAGUCAGAAAUCAAACUCAUUUGCACCUUGGACUUAACAGUGUAUUUGAAAGCUGGUUUAAGUGAAGUGCUAGACCAUCUCUCUGUUACGACAGAUGUGCUGAAUGAAGACCUUCACGCACCUAGGCUCCACAUCCCACACUUCCUUAAGAGGACACAGGAUCAGUGCUAUCUCCCCCUCUCCAUGUAAAACAAUAAACCAGAUCAGUAAUAAAAACCAGAGAAACACACUUUUAGUAAAUUUGAUCAAGGAAACUAGGAAUUUUGAGUUCAAGUUCCAGCUCCUGUCCUCAUGAACUAUACAGCCGUCAGAAAAUUUUAAGGCAGACACUGAGCAGCACCACCAACCCUCCCUUUGAUUUUAGUCAUGUUCCAUGACCUACUUAUACCUCUAUCUAGAGAUCAAAGAUAAUCUCUGUACAACAAUGUAUGUGCAUUACUGAGGAUACCUUAAACUACUGCAUUAUCCUUUCUUAUUUUGAAGCACUACAAGUGUAAAUGUUAGAUGCAUUCUCACAAUAAAAAGUGCAAAAAAGCAUGACUAAAAUAAAACUCUGACGAAUGCUGCCUGAAACGUAGCU